AUCCAGUUGACGAGUGCCAAAUAGGACGAAACGCGAGUCAAACUGGAU
Molecule: non-coding RNA, 48 nt
Organism: Schistosoma curassoni
Lineage: Eukaryota; Metazoa; Platyhelminthes; Trematoda; Strigeidida; Schistosomatidae
Source: Rfam